RNAcentral lists this small RNA (126 nucleotides) under Marmota monax (woodchuck). The record is from RNAcentral. Lineage: Eukaryota; Metazoa; Chordata; Mammalia; Rodentia; Sciuridae.
GCCAGGCAUGGUGGUGCAUGCCUGUAAUCCCAGCAACUUGGAGACUGAGGCAAGAGAAUCACAAAUUCAAAGCCAGCCUCAGCAGCUUAGUGAGACCCUAAGCAAUUUAGCAAGACCCUGUCUCAA